Molecule: long non-coding RNA, 1533 nt
Organism: Toxorhynchites rutilus septentrionalis
Lineage: Eukaryota; Metazoa; Arthropoda; Insecta; Diptera; Culicidae
Exons: 3
Source: RefSeq, a predicted model, not a curated record
AACGAUGCCUACUAUGUUCGGCUUUCGCGAAUUUAUGUGAAAAAGAAGGGAUGUUUUGUAGAAUUUCAUUCUCAUUUCCACUACUCUCGCAUGUGAAAAUGCAAAAAUGGCGUAUCCUAGCAAUAACAAAACAAACAACCCCCGCUCCACAAACCGUAAUCACCUUCUUGUUGAAGUGAUGAUGUUGCUUCACCUGUUAUACAUUGAUAUAAGCGCCUUGCGCGAGCUGACCCUAUAUCUUCUCGUUCAUAAAAUUCGUUCUAGAAACUAAUGGUUGAUUUACACUUUGUGUGAUAAUCGUGAUAAUCCCAGGAAGUAGUAGCCGUAUGGACAAUGAUAUUUUGUGUUUAUAUUAGCCCGACGAUGCUGAACGUUUUUAAGAAUUGGAUUUUGCGUGCUGUUAUCAAUCAUUUAAUUUGUCGAAAAUACUUGCUUGCAAAAACAUGAGCAAACACGAUAAUAUGAUUUGUCACUUAUGACAGAUUUAUCUGUCAAAUGCAAACGCGACUAUUCUAACCUAUUCUAACGACCGUUUGAAGUGCGACUAUUUCUAAUCGUCGUGUCCAGUUAGGGAAUAGACGCACAAUACUAUCCUCUGCAUUACUCGAGUUCGGGUUGACAGCGGCCAAACGUUUUUAAAAACCAAGAGCUAUUUGGCUGUCAUCAAUCGACGGGUCUGCGCCAUGAACGAGGAAAGGAAGCGAAACAAUUAUGCAAAACAAACGCGGAAAGGAAGCUAGAAAUCAUGCAUAUGAUUGUUGCAAUUCUGCAUAUGAACCGCUAAAGGUUUUCGUAGUAGUUUGGAACUCAGGUGUGUUUCAUCGGGCCGGAGAAAUUGAAGCAGUAUUUUUAAAAAAUCGAUUGCGCGUGCAAAUGUCUUGCAAAUGAGCUCGCUGCCAGUUCGUUUUUGAAUUGCGUGGGUGAAAUGAUUUGUAUCCCACUGUAUGAAGUGUUUGCUGCUCUACGUCGUCAGCCCUAACAGCAAUGCAAAUCGUUGUUUCAAUUACACAUAUGAGCCGCUAGAGGUUUUCGCAGUAGCUCAUGUGUGUUUCAUAGGACUGGAGUAAUCGAUGCCCAAUUUUGAAAAUCGAUUAUAUAUGAGCCUCACACCUUUUUCUAUUUCAAUGUGAGAUUGAUGAAAUUUCAAUAAUAUUUGCCAUUAAAGAGAGAGGAAGUAUGCAGUUAUAAGAAGAGAAUUUAGAAGUGUAUUGAUGUGAAGAAACAUCCUUGCAAUGGACCAUGUACAUCGUACACACUGUAAGAGAAGCCAAUGGUCGAAAAUAAUUACAUAUGUCUAAUUUGUCUUCAAUAAGUUGGAGUUAGAGAUUGUGGAGUGGUGGACAUGAAUAAAACAAUGUGAUGAUAUGCUUUACUAGGAUAAUAUAAAAAUUUGUUCGUUGUUUUUUAAAUUGUAUUAUCUAUAAUAUUAAGCUGUCAAAAAAGUCCUGCGGUAUUUCCGCGAGGUGUCGUUGUAAGCACGUAGUUCUAGUUAUAUUCAUUGUAUCGAGUCAUACUAUAGCUUGUUGGAAAGGU